Molecule: long non-coding RNA, 1346 nt
Filed under: Homo sapiens (human)
Lineage: Eukaryota; Metazoa; Chordata; Mammalia; Primates; Hominidae
Description: non-protein coding lnc-SBDS-28:1
Source: RNAcentral
CUGUCACCCAGGCUGGAGUGCAGGGGUAUAAUCUCGGCUCACUGCAACCUCCACUUCCCAGGUUCAAGCAAUUCUCCCAUCUCAACCUCCUGAGUAGCUGAGACUACAGGCGUCUGCCACCACGCCUGGCUAAUUUUUGUAUUUUUAGUAGAGACAGGGUUUCACCUUGUUGGUCUGGCUGGUCUUGAACUCCUGACCUCAGGUGAUCCACCAGCCUCGGCCUCCCAGUGUGCUGGGAUUAUGGGCGUGAGCCACCGUGCCUGGUCACAAUCCAGGAAUUGUUUUCUUAAGAGCCUAAGAGUCUUGUCUUUGAAAUGUAAACCUGGAGGAAAAUAGUGUCCCUAUCUUCCUGUUGCCUAGGGAAUUUAGCCUAGGCACCUUGAGCUGUUACUACCUGCUUGUCAAGGAGAUGUGAGAAGUUUUAUUUUUUCAUUGGAUACAGGUAAUUAACUAGCAUGGAUGGCCACGUUGAUUUCCAGGUGAAUUUAGGAUGAGUGUUUAAGAAUGCAUAGCAGGCCAGGCCUGGUGGCUCACACCUGUAAUCCCAGCACUCUGGGGGAGGCAGAGACAGGCGGAUCACUUGAAGCCACACAGAAAUCGAAAGAAGAAGUUUGAGUCCAGCCUGGCCAGUAUGGCGAAACUCUGUCUCUACUAAAAUACAAAUAUUAGCUGGGCAUGAUGGCACGUCUGUAAUUCCAGCUACUUGGGAGGCUUAGGCACGAGAAUCACUUGAACCCAGGAGGUGGAGGUUACAGUGAGCCAAGAAGAUCACACCACUACACUCCAGCCUGGAUGACAGAAUGAGACCCUGUCUCAAAAAAAACAAAACAAAAAAAACUGCAUAGCAAGUCCUUUUGCAUGAGGAUGAGUUACUAUUUAUCUUGAGAGCGUGUAUGCAAUGGAUUGUAUCUGCCAGGCUAUAUAAAAAGGACGCUUUGGCCGGGCGCCAUAGCUCACGCCUAUAAUCCCAGCACUUUGGGAGGCCUAGGCGGGCGAAUUACGAGGUCAGGAUUUCGAGACCAUCCUAGCUAACAUAACGAAACCCCAUCUCUACUAAAAAUACAAAAAAUUAGCCAGGUGUGGUGGCACGCACCUGUAGUCUCAGUUACUUGGGAGGCUGAGGCAGGAGAAUCGCUUAAACUGGGGAGGCGGAGGUUGCAGUGAGCCGAGAUCGCACCACUGCACUCCAGCCUGGGCGACAGAGCAAGAUUUUGUCUCAAAAAAAAAAAAAAAAAAAAAGGAGGGUUUAUUUUUCUUUGCAUCUCAUUAAUGGAUCAUCUGUGAUGGGCAUCACAGUCUGGUUUAAUGCUUAUUCAAUAAUAAAAUUGUUUGCUUUGUCUUCUGAA